UACGUAGGGGGCGAGCGUUGUUCGGAAUCAUUGGGCGUAAAGCGCGUGUAGGCGGCUCGAUAAGUCCGGUGUGAAACCUUGGGGCUCAACCCCAAGCCUGCACUGGAUACUGCCGAGCUAGAGUCCGGGAGGGGAGAGCGGAAUUCCUAGUGUAGCGGUGAAAUGCGCAGAUAUUAGGAAGAACACCGGUGGCGAAGGCGGCUCUCUGGAACGGUACUGACGCUGAGACGCGAAAGCGUGGGGAGCGAACAGG
This 253-nucleotide ribosomal RNA is filed under the name uncultured bacterium. RNAcentral describes it as "partial 16S ribosomal RNA". It matches the Rfam family "Bacterial small subunit ribosomal RNA", at positions 524 to 776 of the family's 1533-position model. The record is from RNAcentral.